CCUACGGGUGGCAGCAGUGGGGAAUAUUGGACAAUGGGGGAAACCCUGAUGCAGCGAAGCCGCGUGAGUGAAGAAGUAUUUCGGUGUGUAAAGCUCUAUCAGCAGGGAAGAAAAUGACGGUACCUGAUUAAGAAGCCACGGCUAACUACGUGCAAGCAGCCGCGGUAAUACGUCGGGGGCAAGCGUUAUCCGGAUUUACUGGGUGUUAAGGGAGCGUAGAGGGCAGCAUAAGUCUGGAGUGAAAUGCCGGGGCUUAACCCCGGAACUGCUUUGGAAACUGUGCAGCUAGAGUGCAGGUGAGGUAAGUGGAAUUCGUGGUGUAGCGGUGAAAUGCGUAGAUAUUAGGAGGAACACCAGUGGCGAAGGCGGCUUACUGGACUGUAACUGACGUUGAGGCUCGAAAGCGUGGGGAGCAAACAGGAUUAGAUACCCGGGUAGUC
Molecule: ribosomal RNA, 440 nt
Filed under: uncultured bacterium
Lineage: Bacteria
Description: partial 16S ribosomal RNA
Rfam family: Bacterial small subunit ribosomal RNA
Source: RNAcentral